RNAcentral lists this ribosomal RNA (433 nucleotides) under uncultured bacterium. RNAcentral's name for it is "partial 16S ribosomal RNA". It matches the Rfam family "Bacterial small subunit ribosomal RNA", at positions 29 to 507 of the family's 1533-position model. The record is from RNAcentral.
AACGAACGCUGGCGGCAUGCCUAACACAUGCAAGUCGAACGAGACCUUCGGGCCUAGUGGCGCACGGGUGCGUAACGCGGGGGAACCUGCCCUUAGGUUCGGAAUAACUCCCCGAAAGGGGUGCUAAUACCGGAUAAUCUCUUCGGACCAAAGAUUUAUCGCCUUUGGAUGGGCCCGCGUUGGAUUAGCUAGUUGGUGGGGUAAAAGCCUACCAAGGCGACGAUGCAUAGCUGGUCUGAGAGGAUGGUCAGCGACACUGGGACUGAGACACGGCCCAGACUGCUACGGGAGGCAGCAGUGGGGAAUAUUGGACAGUGGGGGAAAGCCUGAUCACGCAAUGCCGCGUGAGUGAUGCAGGCCUUAGGGUUGUAAAGCUCUUUUACCCGGGAUGAUAAUGACGGUACCGGGAGAAUAAGCUCCGGCUAACUCCGUG